CUACGGGUUGCUGCAGUGAGGAAUAUUGCACAAUGGGGGGAACCCUGAUGCAGCAACGCCGCGUGGAGGAUGACGCAUUUCGGUGUGUAAACUCCUUUUAUAUGUCAAGAAAAUGACGGUAGCAUAUGAAUAAGCACCGGCUAACUCCGUGCCAGCAGCCGCGGUAAUACGGAGGGUGCAAGCGUUACUCGGAAUCACUGGGCGUAAAGGACGCGUAGGCGGGUUGGAAGGUCAGGUGUGAAAUCCUACCGCUUAACUGUAGAACUGCACUUGAAACUUCUAAUCUAGAGUAUGGGAGGGGGAGAUGGAAUUAGUGGUGUAGGGGUAAAAUCCGUAGAUAUCACUAGGAAUACCUAAAGCGAAGGCGAUCUCCUGGAACAUUACUGACGCUAAGGCGUGAAAGCGUGGGGAGCAAACAGGAUUAGAUACCCUUGUAGUC
This 439-nucleotide ribosomal RNA is filed under the name uncultured bacterium. RNAcentral's name for it is "partial 16S ribosomal RNA". It matches the Rfam family "Bacterial small subunit ribosomal RNA", at positions 339 to 795 of the family's 1533-position model. The record is from RNAcentral.